This 497-nucleotide ribosomal RNA is filed under the name uncultured bacterium. Its description in RNAcentral is "partial 16S ribosomal RNA". It matches the Rfam family "Bacterial small subunit ribosomal RNA", at positions 28 to 507 of the family's 1533-position model. The record is from RNAcentral.
GAUGAACGCUGGCGGCGUGCCUAAUACAUGCAAGUCGAGCGAACGGACGAGAAGCUUGCUUCUCUGAUGUUAGCGGCGGACGGGUGAGUAACACGUGGAUAACCUACCUAUAAGACUGGGAUAACUUCGGGAAACCGGAGCUAAUACCGGAUAAUAUUUUGAACCGCAUGGUUCAAAAGUGAAAGACGGUCUUGCUGUCACUUAUAGAUGGAUCCGCGCUGCAUUAGCUAGUUGGUAAGGUAACGGCUUACCAAGGCAACGAUGCAUAGCCGACCUGAGAGAGUGAUCGGCCACACUGGAACUGAGACACGGUCCAGACGCCUACGGGAGGCAGCAGUAGGGAAUCUUCCGCAAUGGGCGAGAGCCUGACGGAGCAACGCCGCGUGAGUGAUGAAGGUCUUCGGAUCGUAAAACUCUGUUAUUAGGGAAGAACAUAUGUGUAAGUAACUGUGCACAUCUUGACGGUACCUAAUCAGAAAGCCACGGCUAACUACGUG